This 2762-nucleotide ribosomal RNA is filed under the name Escherichia coli. RNAcentral describes it as "partial 23S ribosomal RNA". It matches the Rfam family "Bacterial large subunit ribosomal RNA". Lineage: Bacteria; Pseudomonadati; Pseudomonadota; Gammaproteobacteria; Enterobacterales; Enterobacteriaceae. The record is from RNAcentral.
CACACUAUCAUUAACUGAAUCCAUAGGUUAAUGAGGCGAACCGGGGGAACUGAAACAUCUAAGUACCCCGAGGAAAAGAAAUCAACCGAGAUUCCCCCAGUAGCGGCGAGCGAACGGGGAGCAGCCCAGAGCCUGAAUCAGUGUGUGUGUUAGUGGAAGCGUCUGGAAAGGCGCGCGAUACAGGGUGACAGCCCCGUACACAAAAAUGCACAUGCUGUGAGCUCGAUGAGUAGGGCGGGACACGUGGUAUCCUGUCUGAAUAUGGGGGGACCAUCCUCCAAGGCUAAAUACUCCUGACUGACCGAUAGUGAACCAGUACCGUGAGGGAAAGGCGAAAAGAACCCCGGCGAGGGGAGUGAAAAAGAACCUGAAACCGUGUACGUACAAGCAGUGGGAGCACGCUUAGGCGUGUGACUGCGUACCUUUUGUAUAAUGGGUCAGCGACUUAUAUUCUGUAGCAAGGUUAACCGAAUAGGGGAGCCGAAGGGAAACCGAGUCUUAACUGGGCGUUAAGUUGCAGGGUAUAGACCCGAAACCCGGUGAUCUAGCCAUGGGCAGGUUGAAGGUUGGGUAACACUAACUGGAGGACCGAACCGACUAAUGUUGAAAAAUUAGCGGAUGACUUGUGGCUGGGGGUGAAAGGCCAAUCAAACCGGGAGAUAGCUGGUUCUCCCCGAAAGCUAUUUAGGUAGCGCCUCGUGAAUUCAUCUCCGGGGGUAGAGCACUGUUUCGGCAAGGGGGUCAUCCCGACUUACCAACCCGAUGCAAACUGCGAAUACCGGAGAAUGUUAUCACGGGAGACACACGGCGGGUGCUAACGUCCGUCGUGAAGAGGGAAACAACCCAGACCGCCAGCUAAGGUCCCAAAGUCAUGGUUAAGUGGGAAACGAUGUGGGAAGGCCCAGACAGCCAGGAUGUUGGCUUAGAAGCAGCCAUCAUUUAAAGAAAGCGUAAUAGCUCACUGGUCGAGUCGGCCUGCGCGGAAGAUGUAACGGGGCUAAACCAUGCACCGAAGCUGCGGCAGCGACGCUGAUGCGUUGUUGGGUAGGGGAGCGUUCUGUAAGCCUGCGAAGGUGUGCUGUGAGGCAUGCUGGAGGUAUCAGAAGUGCGAAUGCUGACAUAAGUAACGAUAAAGCGGGUGAAAAGCCCGCUCGCCGGAAGACCAAGGGUUCCUGUCCAACGUUAAUCGGGGCAGGGUGAGUCGACCCCUAAGGCGAGGCCGAAAGGCGUAGUCGAUGGGAAACAGGUUAAUAUUCCUGUACUUGGUGUUACUGCGAAGGGGGGACGGAGAAGGCUAUGUUGGCCGGGCGACGGUUGUCCCGGUUUAAGCGUGUAGGCUGGUUUUCCAGGCAAAUCCGGAAAAUCAAGGCUGAGGCGUGAUGACGAGGCACUACGGUGCUGAAGCAACAAAUGCCCUGCUUCCAGGAAAAGCCUCUAAGCAUCAGGUAACAUCAAAUCGUACCCCAAACCGACACAGGUGGUCAGGUAGAGAAUACCAAGGCGCUUGAGAGAACUCGGGUGAAGGAACUAGGCAAAAUGGUGCCGUAACUUCGGGAGAAGGCACGCUGAUAUGUAGGUGAAGCGACUUGCUCGUGGAGCUGAAAUCAGUCGAAGAUACCAGCUGGCUGCAACUGUUUAUUAAAAACACAGCACUGUGCAAACACGAAAGUGGACGUAUACGGUGUGACGCCUGCCCGGUGCCGGAAGGUUAAUUGAUGGGGUUAGCGCAAGCGAAGCUCUUGAUCGAAGCCCCGGUAAACGGCGGCCGUAACUAUAACGGUCCUAAGGUAGCGAAAUUCCUUGUCGGGUAAGUUCCGACCUGCACGAAUGGCGUAAUGAUGGCCAGGCUGUCUCCACCCGAGACUCAGUGAAAUUGAACUCGCUGUGAAGAUGCAGUGUACCCGCGGCAAGACGGAAAGACCCCGUGAACCUUUACUAUAGCUUGACACUGAACAUUGAGCCUUGAUGUGUAGGAUAGGUGGGAGGCUUUGAAGUGUGGACGCCAGUCUGCAUGGAGCCGACCUUGAAAUACCACCCUUUAAUGUUUGAUGUUCUAACGUUGACCCGUAAUCCGGGUUGCGGACAGUGUCUGGUGGGUAGUUUGACUGGGGCGGUCUCCUCCUAAAGAGUAACGGAGGAGCACGAAGGUUGGCUAAUCCUGGUCGGACAUCAGGAGGUUAGUGCAAUGGCAUAAGCCAGCUUGACUGCGAGCGUGACGGCGCGAGCAGGUGCGAAAGCAGGUCAUAGUGAUCCGGUGGUUCUGAAUGGAAGGGCCAUCGCUCAACGGAUAAAAGGUACUCCGGGGAUAACAGGCUGAUACCGCCCAAGAGUUCAUAUCGACGGCGGUGUUUGGCACCUCGAUGUCGGCUCAUCACAUCCUGGGGCUGAAGUAGGUCCCAAGGGUAUGGCUGUUCGCCAUUUAAAGUGGUACGCGAGCUGGGUUUAGAACGUCGUGAGACAGUUCGGUCCCUAUCUGCCGUGGGCGCUGGAGAAUUGAGGGGGGCUGCUCCUAGUACGAGAGGACCGGAGUGGACGCAUCACUGGUGUUCGGGUUGUCAUGCCAAUGGCACUGCCCGGUAGCUAAAUGCGGAAGAGAUAAGUGCUGAAAGCAUCUAAGCACGAAACUUGCCCCGAGAUGAGUUCUCCCUGACUCCUUGAGAGUCCUGAAGGAACGUUGAAGACGACGACGUUGAUAGGCCGGGUGUGUAAGCGCAGCGAUGCGUUGAGCUAACCGGUACUAAUGAACCGUGAGGCUUAACCUU